Molecule: long non-coding RNA, 950 nt
Organism: Panicum virgatum (switchgrass)
Lineage: Eukaryota; Viridiplantae; Streptophyta; Magnoliopsida; Poales; Poaceae
Exons: 2
Source: RefSeq, a predicted model, not a curated record
GCUGGGAGAGAAGCCGCUCCAGCAUUGCGGCGCGGGGCUGUGCCUGGCGCGCGCGACGCACUCGAGCGUCCUGAACUCGGCGGCCACGCGCGCCUUGAGCCCCGCGUGCCGCACGAACCCGUGCAAGCUGUCGCGGUGGCCAAGUGAGUCUUACAGUAUUGACGGCAACGUGCCGGCCUUGGAAGACAGGCGUCGCCAUGGCUCGCCAGCCUUGAUCGGCUCCGGCACCUUCGUUGUACGUCAGCCUCCUUCGCGGCACCACGCCGGCGCCGCCAACGCCCGCCGCCAUCGCUGCAUCUCCGGCGAACCGCGUGUCAGCUAUACAUUGAAGCGACAGAAUGAAACAGAGCUGGCUACGCCUCAAUACCUUUCCUCGCCUUCUUUCCCGGCGGCGUGCCAUUGAUGAUCUCCUUGGCGCGUCGCUGCCUCGUUCUCUGUUUCUCCGGAGUGUUGCCGCCGGUGCUGGCGCUCUCCUGCUUCCUCGUCUCGCUGGCGCUCUUCUUCCUCGGCGUGGCGGCGGACGGCUGCAGCGGCGGAGCAGCUGCGUGGCGCGAAGGGCCCCUGUUGCCCCCUUCUCUUCCCUCCGGCGUGAUCGGCUGCUGCAGCUUGUCCAGGUGCCUCUGGCGCCAUGCCGCGAGCUCCGUCACCGAGUACAUCUGGUUCUUCUUCAGGGACGUGAACACCUGCUUGGCUUGAUCUAGCAGUGACAUCGCCUGCAUAGAUCAGGAAAAGUUUCUCCUGGCUUAAUGCAAUGUGAAGGUAAAUAGUAACCACUGUGGCCAUGCAUGUAGGAGUGUGAUGUGGUACGGAAGCUAGGUGAACGAUGAACCUCUCUGAAAGGCACGGUAUCAUGGCCGUUCAUCGUUAUUGCUCUCUGGAACACCAUGUAAACAUCGUUCUGCGAUCGCGUAGAGAAAUGAAGAUCAUGAAACCAGAGGUAAAUUCAACCC